CGAAACCUACGGGAGGCAGCAGUGGGGAAUAUUGCACAAUGGGGGAAACCCUGAUGCAGCAACGCCGCGUGGGUGAAGGAGCGUUUCGGCGCGUAAAGCCCUGUCAGCGGGGAAGAAGAAAGACGGUACCCGACCAAGAAGCCCCGGCUAACUACGUGCCAGCAGCCGCGGUAAUACGUAGGGGGCGAGCGUUAUCCGGAUUUACUGGGUGUAAAGGGAGCGUAGGCGGCCUGGCAAGCCUGAUGUGAAAUACCGGGGCCCAACCCCGGGGCUGCAUUGGGAACUGCCAGGCUGGAGUGCCGGAG
RNAcentral lists this ribosomal RNA (305 nucleotides) under uncultured bacterium. Its description in RNAcentral is "bacterial SSU rRNA". It matches the Rfam family "Bacterial small subunit ribosomal RNA", at positions 333 to 654 of the family's 1533-position model. The record is from RNAcentral.